This 470-nucleotide ribosomal RNA is filed under the name uncultured bacterium. Its description in RNAcentral is "bacterial SSU rRNA". It matches the Rfam family "Bacterial small subunit ribosomal RNA", at positions 28 to 507 of the family's 1533-position model. The record is from RNAcentral.
GAUGAACGCUAGCGGCAGGCCUAAUACAUGCAAGUCGAACGGUGUAGCAAUACACAGUGGCGCACGGGUGCGUAACACGUAUGCAACCUACCUUACAUUGGGGGAUAGCCUUUCGAAAGGGAGAUUAAUACCGCAUAAGACAGUAACUUGGCAUCAAGUAGCUGUUAAAGAUUUAUCGAUGUAAGCUGGGCAUGCGUCCAAUUAGUUAGUUGGCGAGGUAAUGGCUCACCAAGACGAUGAUUGGUAGGGGAACUGAGAGGUCAAUCCCCCCACACUGGCACUGAGAUACGGGCCAGACUCCUACGGGAGGCAGCAGUAGGGAAUAUUGGGCAAUGGACGCAAGUCUGACCCAGCCAUGCCGCGUGCAGGAAGAAGGCGUUAUGCGUUGUAAACUGCUUUUAUAUAGGAAGAAACGACCCUUGCGAGGGGCAUUGACGGUACUAUAUGAAUAAGCACCGGCUAACUCCGUG